ACAGAGGAGAGAAGACCCUUGAAAGAUGUCCACCUCAGAGAUCUGUGCACAGAUGUCCUCCAUGCUUAGACUGUCUCUAGCCAAACUGGAGGUGCUCUGCUGGUGAUCAUGUGGAACCCCUUGUGUCCUGAGCCAGCGGUGAGGAGUUUCACCCCUGCUCCCCUCUCCCCAGUCUUACCUGGGGACUGGUUUUGAUUUCUGCAUUUUCUAGGAGGAUUACAAAUCUUCAGGACAGACUGUGGAUGAAGCCAACAACCAAGAAAAGCAGAGAAAACACGUCAAAAGAUCCUGGGGACGUGUAUGGCCAUUUAUCCCUCAAUCAACCCAUACUGAAACCUGCCUUAGACUGAGUUUCCUGUUCCUGGCAAUAAUAAAUGACCUGUCAUUUCAACCA
Peromyscus eremicus (cactus mouse) is the source of this 394-nucleotide long non-coding RNA. RefSeq lists it as uncharacterized. The transcript is spliced from 2 exons. The record is from RefSeq and is a predicted model, not a curated record. Lineage: Eukaryota; Metazoa; Chordata; Mammalia; Rodentia; Cricetidae.